AGCACCAUGGCAUUCUCCUUCUCCAUCGUCCCUCUCCCAGUUACAAUAGCGACGCACACGAUGAUGCCGCCGGGAGCAUACGCCAUCGGAGACACCGAGGCCGGUGUGUGUUGCCUUUUGCUUAUGGUCGGCAGGACUACGCUGCAAGUCUGGCUACUCAAGAAGAAGGACGGCGGCGGCGGGCAUGCGUGGGAGUUGGAGAAGCAAAGCCAUAUAGGCUGGCUGGACAGCUUCAACCGGCGGUUUGGUGUCCAAAUGGUGGCUGCUGGGCUCGCAAUUGUUUACUGCAUGAGUUGCAAGUAUUCUCACUUUGUCAUUGAUCUCAAGGACCUGAGCCUCAAGGAUAAGUUCCGUUGUCAUCGAACCAUGGCGUACCCUUUCCAAAUGCCAUGGCCACCUGCUGCGUUGGUGCCUACUUCUCCGUGCGAACGGCCCACCACACCCCAAACAUAUGCAUGCCGAGAUGCUGAAAAUCAACACGAAGCACCUUCUUCUAGUAGGAAGCGCAAGAGCAAUGAUGAAAUGGAGCCAUGUAUUUCCCCAGCUUCUUUGAAGAAUGAAUUCAUCAGAUAAGAAAUUGUGCUAUGAGAUUGGACCGCCGACUUGAAUAUAAAGAAGGCGAUCAACAAUUGCACCUUUAAACCCCUUCACUACUGGGUGUUGAGAUACAACUGAUUGAGUUGGGAGGGAGCUCCAAAUCUGCCUAGCCCUCGUUUUGAUGACCACAACAAAGACCAGCUGUUAUUUCUUGAUCUCCCGUUUCUGUUUGGUUUUUAUAUUUCUGAAUUAUUGUAAUGCAUUAGUCUGUAAGAUGGCUUGUAGUUCUAAAGAUUAUAUUGGGGUGUUAUCAGAUUCGUAAGAACGUUAUAAACUGUUAUUGUGGGUCAUGUAGUUGUAAGUUAUAUCAGGAAUUCAAUGUUCUCGUAACCUCCUCGGC
Long non-coding RNA from Triticum aestivum (bread wheat), 937 nucleotides. RefSeq lists it as uncharacterized. Lineage: Eukaryota; Viridiplantae; Streptophyta; Magnoliopsida; Poales; Poaceae. The transcript has 3 exons. The record is from RefSeq and is a predicted model, not a curated record.